This 488-nucleotide long non-coding RNA is filed under the name Chinchilla lanigera (long-tailed chinchilla). RNAcentral's name for it is "lncRNA (ENSCLAG00000024749.1)". The record is from RNAcentral. Lineage: Eukaryota; Metazoa; Chordata; Mammalia; Rodentia; Chinchillidae.
CUUAUCUUCAGAAUGACAGUUACAAUGGACUGAAAUGCUUGCAGCUGCAGUCUCUGUCUAGUUUAUUGGUGUUGGAGCCAGGCAUCCUUAGCUGUGUCUUUUUCUUGCUCUUUGAGGUGUCAUGGCCUCACAGUCCCCUACAAUCCUCAGCUGAAACCAGUGUUUCAUAGAGGUUCACUUACCAUUAACCUGCUACCCAUCUCCAGAGAAGGGACCUAGGCCUGGGACAGACUCAAUAGUACUUAUCAAGAUCAAGAAGAAUUUUGAAAUUAGUUAUGUCAUAUUUAGGCCUUUGUUAUUGUGCUCCCUUUUAAACCAAAGAGCAAAAUAUAUUUUAGAAAGCAACCCAAAGGAUUAUCUGCUGGAGUUUUAGAAAUUUGGGACUCAUAAUGACUGAUUAUACCUUGAGUGGGCAGGAUUCCUUAGCCUUGUGUUGGGGCAUUCCUCAGAAAGGAGUAAGGACCUGGAGAUUCUCUUGUGGAUGUUGU